UACGUAGGGUGCGAGCGUUAAUCGGAAUUACUGGGCGUAAAGCGCAUGUAGGUUGGAAAUCAAGUCAGAUGUGAAAUCCCGGGGCUCAACUUCGGAAUUGCAUUUGAGACUGAUAUUCUUGAGUAUGGGAGAGGGAAGCGGAAUUCCAGGUGUAGAAGUGAAAUUCGUAGAUAUCUGGAGGAACACCGGAGGCGAAGGCGGCUUCCUGGCCCAGAACUGACACUGAGAUGCGAAAGCGUGGGUAGCAAACAGG
RNAcentral lists this ribosomal RNA (253 nucleotides) under uncultured bacterium. RNAcentral's name for it is "partial 16S ribosomal RNA". It matches the Rfam family "Bacterial small subunit ribosomal RNA", at positions 524 to 776 of the family's 1533-position model. The record is from RNAcentral.